This is a long non-coding RNA of Sinocyclocheilus rhinocerous, 504 nucleotides long. RefSeq lists it as uncharacterized. The record is from RefSeq and is a predicted model, not a curated record. NCBI's taxonomy places the organism in Eukaryota, Metazoa, Chordata, Actinopteri, Cypriniformes, Cyprinidae. The transcript has 4 exons.
ACUGCUGUAAAAAUUACAGCAAUAUUUUACAGCAGCAGGCUGUUUUUCUAAUAAUACAGCAUAUUGCUGUAAACUGCAAUGCAUUCUGGGGUCGCGUGACGUUUGACGCAAAUGUACAGCAUAUUGCUGUAAAUUUCAAAUCUAGAGGUGGGAUCUUCAACGGUCGAGAUUCGGGAGCGGCAAUAGGAAUGAUUCACAACUGUGCAUACUACAUAUUCACCCUGGAGUACCAGGAGGAGACAGCCGGUAACUUGGACAUUCAAAGAUGCUUUGUUGGUAAUAAAUCCAGAGAGAGGAACAAAGAAGUUGAAAGGUUCGAAAACAAAAGGGCAAAUGGUGCAGAAGAAACAGCUUGACGUGAACCCACAUGUUGCCACUCUUCUUUGCAAAGUGAAGAGUUUUCAGUGGAAUUUCUGAAAUCCACCCUUUGCAUCCUGGGAUGGAACAGCAUCUGGAGCUGAACUGUUCUCCUUUUUUUGAUCGACUCACUUGGGGCCUUGUUGU